This 598-nucleotide unclassified non-coding RNA is filed under the name Thelephoraceae sp. 11 CG-2012. Its description in RNAcentral is "sequence contains ITS1, 5.8S rRNA gene, ITS2". The stretch from base 209 to 363 matches the Rfam family "5.8S ribosomal RNA". Lineage: Eukaryota; Fungi; Basidiomycota; Agaricomycetes; Thelephorales; Thelephoraceae. The record is from RNAcentral.
UACCGAACCGUCGACACGAGUUGUUGCUGGUCCUCAAACGGGGGCACGUGCACGCUCUGUCUACUCAUCCACUCACACCUGUGCACCCUCUGUAGUUCUAUGGCUUGUGGGGGACCCCGUCGUCCCUCCUGCCGUGGUUCUAUACCUUUACACACACUCUUUAACAAAGUCUCAUGGAAUGUAUGCCGCGUUUAACGCAAUAAAAUACAACUUUCAGCAACGGAUCUCUUGGCUCUCGCAUCGAUGAAGAACGCAGCGAAAUGCGAUAAGUAAUGUGAAUUGCAGAAUCCAGUGAAUCAUCGAAUCUUUGAACGCACCUUGCGCCCUUUGGCUAUUCCGAAGGGCAUGCCUGUUUGAGUAUCAUGAACACCUCAACUCUCACGGUUCGCCGUGAUGAGCUUGGACUUUGGGGGUCUUGCUGGCCUGUUGUCGGCUUCUCUCAAAUGAAUCAGCUUUCCAGUGUUUGGUGGAAUCACGGGUGUGAUAACUAUCUACGCUCGUGGUUUUCUGCCAGGUGUGCAACCUUCAGCGAUGGGGGUUUGCUGGGGCUAAUAAACGUCUCCCUCCAGCGGAGACAGCUUUGUGAACGUUUGAUCUC